This 4445-nucleotide long non-coding RNA is filed under the name Octopus sinensis (East Asian common octopus). RNAcentral describes it as "uncharacterized LOC118762991, transcript variant X2". The record is from RNAcentral. Lineage: Eukaryota; Metazoa; Mollusca; Cephalopoda; Octopoda; Octopodidae.
UAUAAGGGAAAAAUCUCAGUUGACUCACGUACAACGAGAGAUCAGAGUGUUGGCACUUGAUUGUUGGCAUUCUGAGAAAUAUUUUCUUUGUCGGCCUCUGGAUCGAUUCAAGGCAAGUACCGACGUAGACGGAAUUACAACUCACACAGUAAAGAAACGCGAACAAUCUGAUUACCAUCAAGUAUCUUGUCUAACGGUCUACACAACCUACCAACAACACGUGCGCUCGCAUACCAACAGAGGAAUCCAUACAUGUCUUUAAUUUUCUGCUAUUCUUUAAAUAUGUUCGGUGAGACCGACAUAAAAUCGGAUAAAUCCACUGAAGUUGAGGCUUGUUUCUCAAAAAGAAAAGAAAGUUGGCAGAGUGGUAGAGUCUGUAAAACGACAUAUGCGCACAAGCGUGAAUGUUUUUACUCAACUUUUAGAAAGACGUGAAUAAGUAUUAUUUUGUCAAAUGGACUAUUCAGUUUCAGUGUAAAGCUUAUAACUACUUGUUACGGAUGCGAUUCAUAGCCAUGUGAUGUAUUAUCCCAUAAUCCCCUAAUAUCAUGAAAAAAAAAAGAAAAAAAGGAACUGAAGUCUUUAGUAUACAAAGCGUCCGUAUAUGAUUUGUACAUGUCUGUGGAAAUUUUAUUCAACACCGUACAGCAAAUAAGUUGGUGCAUUUGCAAAGCGCAUCGUUUCCGAGGUUCUGUAUCACUUAAGAAGACUUAUACAAUUCAAUUUCCUACCCUGAAAACAGCGCAUUCAGCCUCUGAUAGAAAGCGUAUAUUGAUUUUUCUUAUAUUAAAAAGGGAUUCACGGGAUAGAAAUUUUCUAGUGGAUUUUCUUACCGGCCAUUCAUUUACUACAAUUUACUACUAUACAAAUCUGAUAUCUUCACACAUUUCAAUAAACAAGCAAGGUACAACUAACUGUUCUUCGUAUAUCUCAAAUAUCCGGCUGUACAUGCAUUGAACCUUGCGUACCGCACUGGGAAGCAUCAGCUCCAUUUCAAAACAUAGAAGAUAGCCAGCAAGAAAACAUCACAUGAUUCACGAGCUUCCACGUCUCACAAAUUGUAACAUAGCUUUCUGGGUUAAAAAGGGAUUUUUACUAACUUUAACGAAUCCUCUUAAUUUUAGCAUCUUGGAAUUUGUUACCUAUUUUGCAUUCAGUUCCACUCAAAGCACACACACACACACACACACAGACUCUUUCCAAACUACCUCUUUUUACACAACCACAUGCUUCACACCCUCAAGCACAAAAUUGUUUACUUCACUUUAAUUCAACAAUUAUCAUCGUUAAGAAAUUCAAAUCCAGAAUUUUCAGCAUCGAAGAAACAAAUUUCAGUUCGCAAAGUAAUAAAAUAUACUCUCACAUAGAGAUGCAAAUUGUCUGCACUGUAGGGAAUGCGAUUUUAUGUAAUUCACCACAACGUUGUCCAUCGUCUUCAGGAGACCAGCUGGUAGAGAUUUUGACACCAAAAGUUCGGGGUGAAUCAUGCAAUGUACAAUUUUAACUUGUGAAGGUUUGUUUUAUAAUACAUGAGCCACGAAGCCUAUUUUUUCGAUCGUGCAUGGAUGGAGCGCCAUCAGGGCGAACGCUAAUACAAGUUUUCCACUGCAUCCCUCUCAAUACAUUUUGGUUUACCAGGUUAAAGUCAUAUUUUCCUGUCGUUCUUUCCUUCAAUUCACAACGAAAGAAAAACUGAUUUAUGAUUUUACCACCUCUGAUGAUUCACAGAAAUGAAAUUAGUUGAGCUUCGUUACUGAUGUUGUAAGGCCCACAAGUUUUCGAGUUCAUUUUUUGCUUCAGUGAAAUCUUGGCGAAGCUGAUCAUCAUUGUCUCACGAAAUGUCUUGAAUUUUACGAGAAAUCAUGUGUGCAGGCAAAGGAAUGGUCUUAAUUUGUUUGAAGGUUUGUCCUUCUGCUGGGAUAAUUUGUUAUUAAAUGACACUGAAGUUUACUUGGAUCCAUCGCUUCAUUUGAGAGUGUUGUUAAAUUAUACAAAAGGGAACCGAGUUGUCUUUUAUCCGAUAAUAUAAAACCAUAUUGGAUGUAAUUUUCAUUACAUUUUCGUUUUGAUGAGGUGGACUUUCUAUUCUGGUGUUCGUCUCGUUUUUUAUGACUCUCUUUCUCAUUUUUCUGGGGUGUCAAUAAAAAUUCGUCCAUGUUUAAAUCUAAAAUUAAAAAUCGAUUGAAGUUAACGUAAAAUAAUUCAUGUAAAUUAUAAAUAAAUCAAAAAUUAAAUCUUCUUGGACUACUAUACAACUUACUUACAAUCCCGGUUUACAUGCAAAAAUGUAAUAUUUUUUCUACUCUAGGCACAGGGGCCGAAAUUUUUUGGGAGGGGCCAAUAGAUUAGAUCGACUCCAGUACGUAACUGAUACUUAAUUUAUCGAUCCCGAAAAGAUGAAAGGCAAAGUCGACCUCGGCGGAAUUUGAACUCAGAACGCAAAGAGAAGUGUAACAUAUUAUAGCAAAUGUUCUGUCCGUCGUGUAACGUCAUUUAUAUUUACCAUAUUUUACGAUUUAUAUAAAUUUAUAUUUACGCUCGAACUAUGCAAAUGUUCUUGGAUCGUUGUUUCUCGAAAAUCCCGAAAUUACUUUCCGCGGCACAGUUUGACAAACACUGGCUUAAACGAAUACAACAUUGCUAUUCGAUAGACGUAUAUCAAGUUACUCAAUUGUUACACAAUGUGCACUACAGUUUACUGAAUUGGUAUUAAAAUAUUUUUGCAUUACAUACAAACUAAAUACUUAAAACAUAAUCUCAACUAGCCAAAUGGUAGCCUCACAUUACAUCUUUCCCUCCUAGGAAAGACGAGUUGAUUAAAGAUGGAAUUUUUUGAUCACAGGAUUGCUCAGUCAAAGCUAACUUGACCAAACAAUAGUACAACUAUUGUGUGUAUGUAUCAUACACACACAGACGAAAGGAAGUGACAUUCAACGCAUUUGGAGUUACAUAUAUCUAUUUAGUAAUAGUUUGAUCCAGUUCCACGCAGUUUAGUUUCGUAGAACGAACCUAAACUGUCAGACAACAAAGCAGAUACGAGACAAAUUCAAGGUUGGCCUCUAUUGGUCAACUCAGUUCUCGAAGUUUUAUUGGUCCGUCUGGAUGUGACAUCAAUUUUUUUCUUAAGUUUUUAUAUUCGCGUAGUCGGACAGGAUGUUGGUAGGUACUCGUCACCGCUAAGUCUGGAGAUGGCAGUAUAAUUUCUUUAGUGACAUCAGUUCAUUGCAUUUGAUACUACACAUGGCAAAGCGAUAGUUGUCGCAGGUUAGUGAAAAACUAACACCUGGGAUUAACUACCUUGCUCUUGUGUACUUACAGGUUCAAGGAAAAUGCUUUUCAUUGGCGUCAGGAAACUCCUAGCUACGCUGCUUAAAACGUCUAGAUUGAAUGGCGGAUUGUACCAAAUUAUCUUUCUCUUUCUGACUCUCUUCAGGUUCGAGAGUGAAGUUGUGUCCUCCAUAUAUACUAUCUUCUCACUGAAUUCACUACUCGCUAAUGCUUCCCUAUAAUGCAGGGCAGCCCUAUUGAGGAUCUCUCUAUCCACUGAUAGUUAAGAGAUUCUUCUACUUAUGCCUAGGUUUCUAUUUAUGACUAAGAUUCUAACUAUAGCUGGUGGAUGGUUGGAGUUUCCUCGUAAGGCUUCCUGUAAGAGUAGUACUUGUCCGUUUUCAGGUCGCGGGUUACAUCCAAGAAGUCUACCCAUGUCAAGUUGGUGGUGGUUGUUUUAGAUGGACCAAAUUCUUUGAUGAUCUUUGUUAAAUCCUUCCUGAACUUGUCCUUGGUAUAGCCGUUCAUGUGGCUUGAGAUUGCGAAACUGCCGUCCCUAUAAAGGGCUGAGUUAUGGAGGUGUGUGCGUUUCUUUAGAGUAUCCCGGAGAGAAUACCCGACAAAGUCAGCGAUCUCAGACCAAGUACCCGUCAUAGCUCCCCAUAGUCAUAAGUAGAAACCUAGACAUAAGUAGAAGAAUCUCUUAACUAUCAGUGGAUAGAGAGAUCCUCAAUAGGGCUGCCCCGCGUUAUAGGGAAGCAUUAGCGAGUAGUGAAUUCAGUGCGAAGAUAGUAUAUAUGGAGGACACCGCAACUUCUCCCCCGAACUUGAAGAGAGUCAGAAAGAGAAUGAUAAUUUGGUACAAUCCGCCAUUCAAUCUAGACGUUUCAAGAAGCGUAGCUAAGAGUUUCCUGACGCCAAUGGGUCGCCUUCCUUCUUCACCCAGUAGGAAUCCUUGUGAACCAAUAUUGACUUUCAUGAUAAUUCUAAUAUCGCUGAUAUGGUUGAAUUGCCUAAAGCCUUCAGAGACAAGGAUUUCGACACUGAAAAGUAGAAAUCUAUGAUAUCGAAGUGGGUGAACCUACAGACUGCUUUAUUUUGAUACCUCUGAACCAAUCGAUUACUGCGAUGCUGCAAUCUCAUUGGAUCAGCCCCGCAGCUUUUCUAAUAGCGAACCG